RNAcentral lists this long non-coding RNA (322 nucleotides) under Elaeis guineensis (African oil palm). Its description in RNAcentral is "long non-coding RNA (EGUI_LNC037749)". Lineage: Eukaryota; Viridiplantae; Streptophyta; Magnoliopsida; Arecales; Arecaceae. The record is from RNAcentral.
AGAUGGAGAUUAUGAAAACUCAUCAAAUUCCAACAUCUGUCAUAUGAAAGAUUCAAUCAGCUCGAGUCUGAUUAUGAAACUCAUGAAAACUCCUUUCCAUCAAUCAUCUUAUUGUGGUCACAGACUUAAGGACUCAGCUUCUCAAAUCUCAUAGGACUGCUCCUUAUCUACGAAGAUCGAUGGAUUCCAUUUAAAUACGCACCCUGCUCUUAUAGUGAACCUACUAUAGCCAAUAUCCACUAUAAGGAUCCAUAUGGCUAUGGACUAUAUUUUAUGUUUAAUCAAACUACAGCAAUCCCACUAUGAGCAGUCGAGGCACCGC